Poeciliopsis prolifica (blackstripe livebearer) is the source of this 1343-nucleotide RNA transcript. It is a transcript of the gene named putative proline-rich protein 21, with no coding region annotated. The transcript is spliced from 3 exons. The record is from RefSeq and is a predicted model, not a curated record. Lineage: Eukaryota; Metazoa; Chordata; Actinopteri; Cyprinodontiformes; Poeciliidae.
UUGCAUCUUCAGUAGGACGGCCAAAGUCUACCAAUGAAAUCAUCCUGAUCAUCGGAGAUUAAAGGUUCAAGUCAGACCAGUCUUGAUGCCAGCAGUUGAGCUUUAUUUUGGUUACAGCUCCAUCUAGUGGAGCAGAGAGGAACUCCCCGACAUGCCCAAUGGACCGUAUGCAGCACAGCGAGCAGCUCAGAGGGCGAGAGAGUGAGGAAUCAGAGAGCGAGGAAUCAGAGAGCGAGAGAUCGGGGCGAAGCCUCCACUGAGCGGCUCCGAUGUUCACGCUUCUCCUCAGCGACCUGACAGAGCAGCUCAGCAUCAAACCAAAACCCAGCAGAUACGAAGGAGUCUGGAGGAAAACCACCAGAAACUGAGCAAGAGCAGCAUCCAAACCUCUAGAUCCUCCACAAACACAACCACCAUGGCAGAGGUCACACAGGAAGUCGAGCAGAGAAGCAUCGUCCUCCAGCGUGUCCUCUGGGUCUCGUCCCGCUGCGACGGGGCCAGAGAGUCACCAGUUCACCCUCACCAGUUCAUCAUCACCAGUUCACCCUCACCAGUUCAUCAUCACCAGUUCAUCAUCACCAGUUCAUCCUCACCAGUUCAUCAUCACCAGUUCACCCUCACCAGUUCAUCAUCACCAGUUCAUCAUCACCAGUUCACCCUCACCAGUUCAUCCUCACCAGUUCAUCCUCACCAGUUCAUCCUCAGCUGUAUCGUCUCCAUGUGAAAGAGCAAUGGCUGUAGAGUGAGGAUGACUGAGUUCAUCUUUCUGCCUCUAAUGGAGAGAAACUCAUGUUUUGUAUCCAGGUUCUGGUUCUUUCAGUCCCGACCUGAAGCUCGUCAGCAGGAUGAAGGUCGGAUCGACUCUCUCUCUUCACCACUUCACCAAUCGCAUCAGAUGUUUGCAGAUGUUGCACCAAUCAUCUAUCGAUCGUCUUCAUACAUGAACAAAACCCCAAAGAACUUUGCUUUUCCGCCUGACAGUCUGAUGGACUCGCUUCACUGGGAACAAACAUUAGUUACCUUCAUGGAUGCGGCGUCAGUCAGAGCGGCCGCCUGUCUGUUCAGCUGCGACGCCAUGAUGUGGCAGCGCUGACACAGCCUCAGCUUCUCCUCCUCCGGCUUGCCGUAGCUGCUCAGCUCGCCGGCUGACAGGGACCCUUCUGGGUUGGGCCGCCGGGCGCAGCUCCUCCGGGCCUCGUCCUCCUCGCCUCCUGAUGAACGCAGGCGUUUCCUGUGACAUGUGGAGCCCAGAGGCAGAGCAGUCUGCCCCUCCACCACCUGUUGCUAGAGACCAGGACAGGGUUCAGACAGUCUAGUGGACACAGUCACCUGCCAAAACUUGA